Molecule: ribosomal RNA, 270 nt
Filed under: Triticum aestivum (bread wheat)
Lineage: Eukaryota; Viridiplantae; Streptophyta; Magnoliopsida; Poales; Poaceae
Description: partial small subunit ribosomal RNA
Source: RNAcentral
AUGGAGGGCAAGGAGGAGGACGUGCGGCUCGGGGCGAACAAGUACUCGGAGCGUCAGCCCAUCGGCACGGCGGCGCAGGGGUCCGAGGACAAGGACUACAAGGAGCCCCCGCCGGCGCCGCUGUUCGAGCCCGGCGAGCUCAAGUCCUGGUCCUUCUACCGCGCCGGCAUCGCCGAGUUCAUGGCCACCUUCCUCUUCCUCUACGUCACCAUCCUCACCGUGAUGGGCUACAGCGGCGCCACCUCCAAGUGCGCCACCGUCGGCAUCUAG